RNAcentral lists this unclassified non-coding RNA (151 nucleotides) under Septoriella leuchtmannii. RNAcentral's name for it is "partial internal transcribed spacer 2". The record is from RNAcentral. Lineage: Eukaryota; Fungi; Ascomycota; Dothideomycetes; Pleosporales; Phaeosphaeriaceae.
GUACCCUCAAGCUCUGCUUGGUGUUGGGUGUUUGUCCUCUCCUCUGCGUUUGGACUCGCCUUAAAGCAAUUGGCAGCCAGUGUUUUGGUAUUGAAGCGCAGCACAAUUUGCGAUUCUAGCCCAAAGACUUGCGUCCAUAAGCCUUUUUAAC